UCAAGAAACUUCCACAAUGGGCGAAAGCCUGAUGGAGCGACGUCGCGUGAUGGACGAAGUGCUUCGGCACGUAAACAUCUUUUUAUGUGGGAUGAAAUUAUUGACAGUACCACAUGAAUAAGGGGCUCCUAACUCUGUGCCAGCAGGAGCGGUAAUACAGAGGCCCCAAGCGUUAUCCGGAAUCACUGGGCGUAAAGGGUGUCGAGACGGUUGUAUUAGUCGUUCGUAAAAUCUACGAGCUUAACUUGUAGGCGGCGAACGAAACGGUACGACUUGAGGUUUGGAGAGGUGCGUGGAACUCACGGUGUAGGGGUGAAAUCCGUUGAUAUCGUGGGGAACACCAAAGGCGAAGGCAGCGCACUGGCCAAAAUCUGACGCUCACACACGAAAGCUAGGGUAGCGAAGAGGAUUAGAUACCCGUGUAGUCCCUGAGCGGGCUGGCAAGGCGCAU
RNAcentral lists this ribosomal RNA (451 nucleotides) under uncultured bacterium. RNAcentral's name for it is "bacterial SSU rRNA". It matches the Rfam family "Bacterial small subunit ribosomal RNA", at positions 355 to 825 of the family's 1533-position model. The record is from RNAcentral.